UUGUUAAUGAGAGGUUGUGUGUAGGGUUUGAUUACAGAGGAGGGAGACGAAGCUGCAACGAAUUGCUUUUAAAUAACAAUAAGUAUUAACUGAAUAGAUAGAGAGGGAGAAGACGAUGAUGUUCAGGAGUUGAGGACUGACCUUCUUAUAGGUGAAUAAAACAUCGCCUUGAAGAAAAAUAAAAAGCAUUGAAUGAUCUGUAGUGAUUGUUGUGGGUCAAAGGAGUAAAGAUGGUUCUUAAUGGCGAAGAAUGGGUGAAUCCGUAACGUUUUGGAGGAGAAGAAUCUAAGAUGAACAGACGCGAACGAAGAUCGACCCAAAGAUUCAUCAGGAAGAUUCUUCUCACACAACCUCCAGAAACUCCACUAAUGGCGAUAAUUCUUAAUAGGAUGGAUGUCUCACGAUGAAUCCUAGAAGAAGACGAUGGGUGUCGUGAAGAAUAAGAUGUUAACC
Molecule: long non-coding RNA, 453 nt
Filed under: Brassica napus (rape)
Lineage: Eukaryota; Viridiplantae; Streptophyta; Magnoliopsida; Brassicales; Brassicaceae
Description: long non-coding RNA (BNAP_LNC021356)
Source: RNAcentral